Molecule: ribosomal RNA, 495 nt
Filed under: uncultured bacterium
Lineage: Bacteria
Description: partial 16S ribosomal RNA
Rfam family: Bacterial small subunit ribosomal RNA
Source: RNAcentral
GACGAACGCUGGCGGCGUGCCUAAUACAUGCAAGUAGAACGCUGAAGGAGGAGCUUGCUUCUCUGGAUGAGUUGCGAACGGGUGAGUAACGCGUAGGUAACCUGCCUGGUAGCGGGGGAUAACUAUUGGAAACGAUAGCUAAUACCGCAUAAUAGUAGAUGUUGCAUGACAUUUGCUUAAAAGGUGCAAUUGCAUCACUACCAGAUGGACCUGCGUUGUAUUAGCUAGUUGGUGGGGUAACGGCUCACCAAGGCGACGAUACAUAGCCGACCUGAGAGGGUGAUCGGCCACACUGGGACUGAGACACGGCCCAGACUCCUACGGGAGGCAGCAGUAGGGAAUCUUCGGCAAUGGACGGAAGUCUGACCGAGCAACGCCGCGUGAGUGAAGAAGGGUUUCGGAUCGUAAAGCUCUGUUGUAAGGGAAGAACGAGUGUGAGAGUGGAAAGUUCACACUGUGACGGUAUCUUACCAGAAAGGGACGGCUAACUACGUG